Molecule: long non-coding RNA, 2693 nt
Organism: Myzus persicae (green peach aphid)
Lineage: Eukaryota; Metazoa; Arthropoda; Insecta; Hemiptera; Aphididae
Exons: 2
Source: RefSeq, a predicted model, not a curated record
CUGUUUUGUUUCUUCUUGGUAGGAGUUCAAAUCUACCGGCGGCAUGUUGAAGGUUUCAUCGAUGUACCGCAUGUGUAGUGGCCCCCCAAGUGUGAUGAAAGAGUUAUUAUUGCUAACCGAGAAGGGGAGAUGCUACAGAUGCCAACGUGCUACUGUAGAACAGUACGGUCUGAGGCUUCUGUCAAAAACAUUCAUACAAGUACGGCAAGAAAACAAGAUUUCUAUAAUACUACUCCUAUCUACUACUACUACUACUGUGUCUACUACUGAAAAUACUCGCAGCGGAUCCGCUGUGUUCGACCAGUUCGCGGACGACUACAUCAUCGUUUGGCAGCCAAGAACGUUUCGGCGAUUUACUAUUGUACAAUAAUAAUAUAAUAUUGUAUUCUAAUUCUAUAUUUAUACAAAUCAUAUAGUUGUAUACACAUAAAAUAACUAUAUUGUUUUUUUUUCUAAUUAAUAUUUUAAUCUUUUUUCCAAAAAUAAAGCCACACAUCGUUUGUAUUUUAUGAUUUUUCCGAUGAUAAUGAUCGCUUGUUGUCUUAUUGAUUGCAAAAGUUUAUUCCAUCUCAUGAUAUUUUUCUAAACAGUCUUUAAGCAGCGGUGGCAGUAGCAGUGGCGGCAGCAAUGAUGACGGAGGCGGUGGCAGUUCGAUUCGGAGCGUCUCCAGCAUCUGCAGAUGUAUGUAUACAGGCGGGGCCUUGAGGAUUCGUUGCCGGAUUUUUUUUCACUCUCUUUUCAGGGUCAUAAAUCAUUUUUUUUUUCUCUCUUGACGCUUAUCCUGCGAUUCAUCGCUGUGCACAGAUGUCACACGGCCGUCGUUACGACAAUCAAUUAGAAUCGCCAAAAGACUGACGCGUGCCAAGUGUAUAAUCAACACAAUGUUGUGAGUUUUAAUUAUAAACGGCCGUGUGAUUAGGUACAAAAACGUGAGUUAAAAAAUUUUCCCUUGGUAAAAAAGUGCCACCGCCGUGUAUGAGUUUAUUCUGUCCACGCGCAUGUGUGUGUAAUGUUUAAACACACACACCGAAGAAUUUCCAUAAAUAGUGACUCGCCGAGGGUUGUGCGCACGUCACAAGGCAGUACCAAGCACCACCAGUCAGUUAGUUCAAAAAUAGAUUGCCUUAACAAUAAUACUGUAUUACUUCUAUCUCCCUCUAUCUUUCUCCCAACGUCCCUGUCAAGAUCUGUCGGUGUGUCUAUCUCUCUCUGUCUCGUUAUCUAUCCAUAUCUCCCCCUCCCUCCCUCACUCUCUCUCUCUCUCUCUCUCCCUCUCUUUCUCUCUCUCUCUCUCUGUCGCUCACCGUUCCUGUUAGCUAUACUCCCACACAGACGUUUCUGGUCCUUACACAUUUCCCCCUUGGCGGAUUACCGUGAACACAAACAUUGCAUACAACAACUGCAGUUAAAUUAUGGCCCCGAUAAUUAAAUGGCAUUGCUUUCAUAUUUAAAUAUACACACCGAUUCGCAGAAUCGUCGAGUGCAAAAUAAUACGAACAGUGGCAAAAAAGGAAAUCUUCCUAGACACGGCCAAGGUGGCAAUCGGUUGAACAACUUCCGAAGGGCCGCGGCGCGAGAGGAACAACAGAUUCAUUUGUUGCCAUAUUGGUAUUCAAUCUUCUCGAUUAUUACUAAUAUUAUUAUUGCCGGGGUGGUGGUGCUUACUACGAUUAGUUAUUCAGUCUGCGGUUCAACGUUUCCCGGCAUUUUAACCCAAGUUCAAGUUUUUUUUUUGGCUCUUUAGUCAUUAACAUUUUUGCAUCGUUAACACAGUGAAGCGAAAUCGUUGGUGUAGGGCAGAAUAAUUUUAUUCUACAAAAGAAAUUAAAACAAAAAAACUUGAACCGCUCACGCUGGAUCGGCGGUAUCGUUCAUUACAACACACUGAUUUUGUUUGAACUAUUUCAAUGGUGCCUUUUGAUUUGUAUUUUUUCUGUCAAUUUAAUGGUUAAAACAUGAGUCUUACUGCAAUAUUUUUUGACAUGAGGCAUAUCCACAGAUAAAUCCUACAGUACUGACAUAUUCUGUUUUGUGACAUAAUUUUAAAUUCUAACUCGACAUCGUCGUGUUUACGGACGUACUUUUCGGUUGCAAAUCUGUUACUAGGAUCAUACAUUAAUUACUAAGAAAUAAAAAUCCGACGUCAAAUCGUAAUUAGGUACCUCGAACGUUUCGCAAAUCAGCAAAAAGGAAAUAUUGUCCAUUUAGUUUCUUAUUUAAGUUUUGCAACCGAUGGCUUAUGUUCUAUUAAUACUACUUAUUGGCUAAAUUACAGGAUACAUAAGUACUUGCAUUCAAUAAACGUUUAUUAAACAUAAUAAUGUAAUAUUUGUUAAUACAAUUUAUUAUAUAAUCGCACCAGCUUAAAUAAUUUAAUAAAUAUAAUAUGAUUAUAUAAAAACAAAAUAAAAAUCAAGUUAAAAAUGAAAAAUACAUUUUGAUAACAAUAAUUAUAGCCGCGAAAGCCAUUUUAAUAAAUAAGACAAAAUUCUUGUAGCACACUUAAAAUUAAUUCUAAUAAAUAAAUAAUAAGAAAUAAUUCGUAUAAUUGUAUGGCACUUGAUAAGUAUUCAUGGGUUAAAACAAAGCCUAAACACUAAGCUUUAUAGAUUAUCAUUUUCAGUAUCGGCAUUAUUAAAAUGAUAAAUAGCACUCAACCUUGAAGGAUUGACUAAAAAAGAGAGAGGGAGAGA